RNAcentral lists this transfer RNA (87 nucleotides) under Sandaracinobacteroides saxicola. Its description in RNAcentral is "tRNA-Leu". It matches the Rfam family "tRNA". Rfam says of the family: Transfer RNA (tRNA) molecules are approximately 80 nucleotides in length. The record is from RNAcentral. Lineage: Bacteria; Pseudomonadati; Pseudomonadota; Alphaproteobacteria; Sphingomonadales; Sphingosinicellaceae.
GCGGAUGUGGCGGAACCGGUAGACGCAGCGGACUUAAAAUCCGCUUCUGGCUUCAGAGUGCGGGUUCGAGUCCCGCCAUCCGCACCA